This is a long non-coding RNA of Ziziphus jujuba (common jujube), 591 nucleotides long. RefSeq lists it as uncharacterized. The record is from RefSeq and is a predicted model, not a curated record. The transcript is spliced from 2 exons. NCBI's taxonomy places the organism in Eukaryota, Viridiplantae, Streptophyta, Magnoliopsida, Rosales, Rhamnaceae.
UUAAAAAAACCAUUAAAACAAAUAAAGAAAGAGAGAGAACCAAUACAAUUUUUGUUGCAUAGUGCAAGAUUAUAAAAUAUUCCUGAAGACAGAGUCAUAAAGCCAUUAAGCAAUAAAUUUUAAUGGAGAAAAUUUGGUUCACACAUCAAUCUCCAACCAUCAAGCGGUCGACCAAGAAUACAAUUUGAGGUGGGAAGAAGAUAUGGGUUUGUCUUCUCUACUUUGCUCUGUGGUUGCAGUUUUCAUAAUUGCUGCUAUGCUUGCCUUGCAACUUGGAGUGGUUAGUUCAGAUAUGAAUACUAGGAAACUGCGAGGAGAGGAUAAAGGUUCUCCCUAUCACCCGGCUCCGUCCCGAAAUGGUCCUGUGAACGAGGGACCGGGUCACUGAUUCUACUCCUCCAAAUGCAAUUGGGCUUUCAUCAAAAAAAAAAAAAGAUAUAUGCAGUUGGGCCGGAUUAAGCAAUAGCCUGCAAAGCUAGCUUAUUCUCCAGUUCCGAUUUCCAUCAGCAUACCAAUUAAUAUCAACUUCACUUGUUUGGAAAGUAAAUUUGCAUAAUCAAAUAAAUUACGUAUUUCUGUGUUGUUCCUAAA